AGUUAAAUGUUCUUCGUGAACAUAGCGAACUGCUCAGUAGCACGUGGAUAACCUACCCUUAGGACCGGAAUAACCCCGGGAAACUGGGGAUAAUACCGGAUAAGCCAUAGACGCUGGAAUGCCCUAUGGUUCAAAGCUCCGGCGCCUAAGGAUGGAUCUGCGGUCUAUCAGGUUGUAGUGGGUGUAACGUACCUACUAGCCGACGACGGAUACGGGUUGUGAGAGCAAGAGCCCGGAGAUGGAUUCUGAGACACGAAUCCAGGCCCUACGGGGUGCAGCAGGCGCGAACACUUUACAAUGCGGGAAACCGCGAUAAGGGAACCCCGAGUGCCAGCAUCAAAUGUUGGCUGUCCAGAUGAUUAAAAAUCAUUUGUUAGCAAGGGCCGGGCAAGACCGGUGCCAGCCGCCGCGGUAACACCGGCGGCCUGAGUGGUAGCCGUUUUUAUUGGGUCUAAAGGGUCCGUAGCCGGCCUGAUAAGUCCUUUGGGAAAUCUGGCAGCUUAACUGUCAGGCUUCUAAGGGAUACUGUCAGGCUUGGGACCGGAAGAGGUAAGGGGUACUCCAGGGGUAGGAGUGAAAUCUUGUAAUCCCUGGGGGACCAUCUGUGGCGAAGGCGCCUUACCAGAACGGGUCCGACGGUGAGGGACGAAAGCUAGGGGAGCAAACCGGAUUAGAUACCCGGGUAGUCCUAGCUGUAAACGAUGCUCGCU
RNAcentral lists this ribosomal RNA (710 nucleotides) under uncultured archaeon. RNAcentral's name for it is "bacterial SSU rRNA". It matches the Rfam family "Archaeal small subunit ribosomal RNA", at positions 56 to 768 of the family's 1478-position model. The record is from RNAcentral.